Molecule: transfer RNA, 76 nt
Filed under: Candidatus Saccharibacteria bacterium 32-50-10
Lineage: Bacteria; Candidatus Saccharimonadota
Description: tRNA-Thr
Rfam family: tRNA
About the family: Transfer RNA (tRNA) molecules are approximately 80 nucleotides in length. Their secondary structure includes four short double-helical elements and three loops (D, anti-codon, and T loops).
Source: RNAcentral
GCCGCUGUGGCUCAGCUGGUAGAGCGGCGCUUUCGUAAAGCGUAGGUCACCGGUUCGAAUCCGGUCAGCGGCUCCA